AGACCCGAAACCCGGUGAUCUAGCCAUGGGCAGGUUGAAGGUUGGGUAACACUAACUGGAGGACCGAACCGACUAAUGUUGAAAAAUUAGCGGAUGACCUGUGGCUGGGGGUGAAAGGCCAAUCAAACCGGGAGAUAGCUGGUUCUCCCCGAAAGCUAUUUAGGUAGCGCCUCGUGAAUUCAUCUCCGGGGGUAGAGCACUGUUUCGGCUAGGGGGCCAUCCCGGCUUACCAACCCGAUGCAAACUGCGAAUACCGGAGAAUGUUAUCACGGGAGACACACGGCGGGUGCUAACGUCCGUCGUGAAGAGGGAAACAACCCAGACCGCCAGCUAAGGUCCCAAAGUCAUGGUUAAGUGGGAAACGAUGUGGGAAGGCCCAGACAGCCAGGAUGUUGGCUUAGAAGCAGCCAUCAUUUAAAGAAAGCGUAAUAGCUCACUGGUCGAGUCGGCCUGCGCGGAAGAUGUAACGGGGCUAAACCAUGCACCGAAGCUGCGGCAGCGAACGUAUCACCCAAGACAACUUUACGGAGUUGACGAUUGACGGAGCGAAGCGACGUCAAAGCGUUCAUUAAAGUCGAGUUGGCUUAGGGAUACGUUCGUUGGGUAGGGGAGCGUUCUGUAAGCCUGUGAAGGUGUGUCGUGAGGCAUGCUGGAGGUAUCAGAAGUGCGAAUGCUGACAUAAGUAACGAUAAAGCGGGUGAAAAGCCCGCUCGCCGGAAGACCAAGGGUUCCUGUCCAACGUUAAUCGGGGCAGGGUGAGUCGACCCCUAAGGCGAGGCCGAAAGGCGUAGUCGAUGGGAAACGGGUUAAUAUUCCCGUACUUGGUGUUACUGCGAAGGGGGGACGGAGAAGGCUAUGUUGGCCGGGCGACGGUUGUCCCGGUUUAAGCGUGUAGGUGUGUGUUCCAGGUAAAUCCGGUUCACUUUAACACUGAGGCGUGAUGACGAGGCACUACGGUGCUGAAGCAACAAAU
This 973-nucleotide ribosomal RNA is filed under the name Salmonella enterica. Its description in RNAcentral is "partial 23S ribosomal RNA". It matches the Rfam family "Bacterial large subunit ribosomal RNA", at positions 711 to 1598 of the family's 2925-position model. The record is from RNAcentral. RNAcentral also lists the same sequence under 2 other names. Lineage: Bacteria; Pseudomonadati; Pseudomonadota; Gammaproteobacteria; Enterobacterales; Enterobacteriaceae.